UUCUAGAUGGAGAUGAAUCUGCAAGAGGUUAUUUGUUUGUUGGGAUGCGUAUAACUAUAAUUUGGGUAAUCGUGGGAUGAAUUACAUAAUGUUAUCCAGGAGUAAAAGGGGCGUUUUGUUGGAAUCCACCGAGCCAAUGUCUAGCAAAAAGACUCUUGAUAGACUUAGCAACUCAAUUUUUUUCCUUGCAAAUGAUUUUUUUGAUUUGCACUUGUCAUAAAUAUCACUGAUAAGAGCUCCUAGUCUUGUUGUAAAUAUUAAGUAAUCUUCCUUCAUGCAACUUCAUUGGAACACUGUUUGCUGUGGGAAGGGUUAACUUCUCUAUGGAGGUGUAAAGCUUAUAGAGUAUAGGGUCGAUCAUUAGGGUACAGAGGAAAAGGGUUUAUGUGUGGUUACUGGUUAGGAAGCCAUUGCAUAACACUGGACUUCUUUCUCUGGAACAAUGGGCAGAUAAUCCUUUGGAAAAAGAGAUGGACUUGUCUUGACAAAG
RNAcentral lists this unclassified non-coding RNA (490 nucleotides) under Hevea brasiliensis (rubber tree). Lineage: Eukaryota; Viridiplantae; Streptophyta; Magnoliopsida; Malpighiales; Euphorbiaceae. The record is from RNAcentral.